This 348-nucleotide unclassified non-coding RNA is filed under the name soil metagenome. RNAcentral describes it as "partial contains 5.8S ribosomal RNA, internal transcribed spacer 2, and large subunit ribosomal RNA". The stretch from base 1 to 120 matches the Rfam family "5.8S ribosomal RNA", at positions 35 to 154 of the family's 154-position model. The record is from RNAcentral.
GAUGAAGAACGUAGCGAAAUGCGAUAAGUAAUGUGAAUUGCAGAAUUCAGUGAAUCAUCGAAUCUUUGAACGCACAUUGCGCCCGCCAGUAUUCUGGCGGGCAUGCCUGUCCGAGCGUCAUUUCAACCCUCGAACCCCUCCGGGGGGUCGGCGUUGGGGAUCGGCACUUACCUGCCGGCCCCGAAAUACAGUGGCGGUCUCGCCGCAGCCUCUCCUGCGCAGUAGUUUGCACACGCGCACCGGGAGCGCGGCGCGUCCACGGCCGUAAAACAACCCAAACUUCUGAAAUGUUGACCUCGGAUCAGGUAGGAAUACCCGCUGAACUUAAGCAUAUCAAUAAGCGGAGGA